Molecule: transfer RNA, 67 nt
Filed under: Marmota monax (woodchuck)
Lineage: Eukaryota; Metazoa; Chordata; Mammalia; Rodentia; Sciuridae
Description: tRNA.Ala
Source: RNAcentral
GGUUGUGGCUCAGUGGUAGAGCACUAGCCUAGCACAUACGAUGCCCUGGGUUCGAUCCUCAGCACCA